This 441-nucleotide ribosomal RNA is filed under the name uncultured bacterium. RNAcentral's name for it is "partial 16S ribosomal RNA". It matches the Rfam family "Bacterial small subunit ribosomal RNA", at positions 338 to 795 of the family's 1533-position model. The record is from RNAcentral.
CCUACGGGAGGCAGCAGUGGGGAAUAUUGCACAAUGGGGGAAACCCUGAUGCAGCGACGCCGCGUGAGUGAAGAAGUAUUUCGGUAUGUAAAGUCCUAUUAGCAGGGAAGAAGAAAGACGGUACCAGCGUAUGAGGCCCCGCCUAACUACGUCCCAGCAGCGGCGGUAAUACGGAGGGGGCAAGCGUUAUCCGGAUUUACUGGGCGUAAAGGGAGCGUAGACGGCUGUGCAGGUCUGAAGUGAAAGCCCAGGGCUUAACCCUGGGACUGCUUUUGAAACUGUGGAGCUAGAGUGUUGGAGAGGUAGGUGGAAUUCCUGGUGUAGCGGUGAAAUGCGUAGAUAUUAGGAGGAACACCAGUGGCGAAGGCGGCUUACUGGACAGUAACUGACGUUGAGGCUCGAAAGCGUGGGGAGCAAACAGGAUUAGAUACCCCAGUAGUC